UAUCGAAGUACCGUUCCGACGCUGACUU
This 28-nucleotide small RNA is filed under the name Bombyx mori (domestic silkworm). Its description in RNAcentral is "piRNA piR-bmo-1993258". The record is from RNAcentral. Lineage: Eukaryota; Metazoa; Arthropoda; Insecta; Lepidoptera; Bombycidae.